GACGAACGCUGGCGGCGCGCCUAACACAUGCAAGUCGAACGGAGCUGAGAGAAGCUUGCUUUUCUUAGCUUAGUGGCGAACGGGUGAGUAACGCGUGAGUAACCUGCCCUGGAGUGGGGGACAACAGUUGGAAACGACUGCUAAUACCGCAUAAGCCCACGAUCCGGCAUCGGAUUGAGGGAAAAGGAUUUAUUCGCUUCAGGAUGGACUCGCGUCCAAUUAGCUAGUUGGUGAGGUAACGGCCCACCAAGGCGACGAUUGGUAGCCGGACUGAGAGGUUGAACGGCCACAUUUGGACUGAGACACGGCCCAGACUCCUACGGGAGGCAGCAGUGGGGGAUAUUGCACAAUGGGGGAAACCCUGAUGCAGCGACGCCGCGUGGAGGAAGAAGGUUUUCGGAUUGUAAACUCCUGUCGUUAGGGACGAUAAUGACGGUACCUAACAAGAAAGCACCGGCUAACUACGUG
This 468-nucleotide ribosomal RNA is filed under the name uncultured bacterium. RNAcentral describes it as "partial 16S ribosomal RNA". It matches the Rfam family "Bacterial small subunit ribosomal RNA", at positions 28 to 507 of the family's 1533-position model. The record is from RNAcentral.